This 253-nucleotide ribosomal RNA is filed under the name uncultured bacterium. RNAcentral describes it as "partial 16S ribosomal RNA". It matches the Rfam family "Bacterial small subunit ribosomal RNA", at positions 524 to 776 of the family's 1533-position model. The record is from RNAcentral.
UUCGGAGGGUGCUAGCGUUGUUCGGAAUCACUGGGCGUAAAGCGCACGUAGGCGGAUUUGUCAGUCAGGGGUGAAAUCCCGGGGCUCAACCUAGGAACUGCCUUUGAUACAGCAAAUCUCGAGUCCGGAAGAGGUGGGUGGAAUUCCUAGUGUAGAGGUGAAAUUCGUAGAUAUUAGGAAGAACACCAGUGGCGAAGGCGGCCCACUGGUCCGGUACUGACGCUGAGGUGCGAAAGCGUGGGGAGCAAACAGG